RNAcentral lists this transfer RNA (85 nucleotides) under Felis catus (domestic cat). It matches the Rfam family "tRNA". Rfam says of the family: Transfer RNA (tRNA) molecules are approximately 80 nucleotides in length. The record is from Rfam by way of RNAcentral. Lineage: Eukaryota; Metazoa; Chordata; Mammalia; Carnivora; Felidae.
GCCUGGGUGGUUCAGUCGGUUGAAUGUCUGACUUCUGCUCAGGUCAUGAUCUCACGGUUCAUGGGUUCAAGCCCCGCAUCGGGCU